Molecule: transfer RNA, 73 nt
Filed under: Bos taurus (domestic cattle)
Lineage: Eukaryota; Metazoa; Chordata; Mammalia; Artiodactyla; Bovidae
Also listed under: 4 other names
Rfam family: tRNA
About the family: Transfer RNA (tRNA) molecules are approximately 80 nucleotides in length.
Source: Rfam by way of RNAcentral
UCCCUGGUGGUCCAGUGGUUAAGAGUCUGUGCUUCUAUUGCAGGGGGUGCAGGUUUGAUUCCUGGUCAGGGAG